Non-coding RNA from Paramuricea clavata, 485 nucleotides. The record is from the annotation of a GenBank genome assembly. NCBI's taxonomy places the organism in Eukaryota, Metazoa, Cnidaria, Anthozoa, Malacalcyonacea, Plexauridae.
CCUAAAUUUAUUCAUAAUUUUUUUUGCAAGAUAUAUCGUAAAACGUAUGGACAACAUGUUGGAUUUGCUCAAUUCAUGGACUCCUGGUUGCAUUCUCUGAUGCGCAAGGUGAAUUCAUUGAGUUUUGAUGGUAUUUUAAACGUGACGGUCAGUUAUGUAUAGUACUCAACAAUAAACUGCACCAUGGUCUGAAAACUCAUUUAAAACCACUUUUUCAAGGUAAAACUUCCGAAUCUUGAAUUCUUCGUCAACCUGGGUGACUGGCCUCUCGAGAAAAGACCCAACAUUUUCCAUGAGGCGUUUUCAAACUCUUACUUGACCGGUCUGUUCGGGUCCUUUCUUCGUUUCUUUCUACUUUUCUGUUCUGUUCCAUCAUUGCUUUCACUUUCCUUUCGUUUCGGCGCUUCCGUUUGUUUCAGGGCAGUAAUCGGGACGGAGUCACUGUCUGCACUGUUCACGCUUGAUGGCGAGCCAGUGUCAGCAUC